CGGACGGGUGAGUAACGCGUGAGAAUCUGCCAAAAGGACGGGGACAACAGGGGGAAACCGCUGCUAAAACCCGAUGUGCCGGAAGGUAAAAAAUUUAUUGCCUUUUGAUGAGCUCGCGUCAGAUUAGCUAGUUGGUAAGGUAAAAGCUUACCAAGGCGACGAUCGGUAGCUGGUCUGAGAGGACGAUCAGCCACACUGGGACUGAGACACGGCCCAGACUCCUACGGGAGGCAGCAGUGGGGAAUUUUCCGCAAUGGGCGAAAGCCUGACGGAGCAAGACCGCGUGAGGGAGGAAGGCUCUUGGGUUGUAAACCUCUUUUCUCAGGGAAGAACAAAAUGACGGUACCUGAGGAAUCAGCCUCGGCUAACUCCGUGCCAGCAGCCGCGGUAAUACGGAGGAGGCAAGCGUUAUCCGGAAUUAUUGGGCGUAAAGCGUCCGCAGGUGGCACUUCAAGUCUGUCGUCAAAGACUGGGGCUUAACCCUGGAAAGGCGGUGGAAACUGAAGCGCUAGAGUGUGGUAGGGGUAGAGGGAAUUCCCGGUGUAGCGGUGAAAUGCGUAGAGAUCGGGAAGAACAUCGGUGGCGAAAGCGCUCUACUGGACCACAACUGACACUCAGGGACGAAAGCUAGGGGAGCGAAUGGGAUUAGAUACCCCAGUAGUC
This 663-nucleotide ribosomal RNA is filed under the name uncultured cyanobacterium. RNAcentral's name for it is "bacterial SSU rRNA". It matches the Rfam family "Bacterial small subunit ribosomal RNA", at positions 99 to 795 of the family's 1533-position model. The record is from RNAcentral. Lineage: Bacteria; Bacillati; Cyanobacteriota.